UGAGGAAUAUUGGGCAAUGUCCGCAAGGGUGACCCAGCAACGCCGCGUGGAGGAUGAAUGUCGUAAGAUUGUAAACUCCUGUUAGAGGGGAAGAAUAGUACCGGUUGGACCGGUAUAUGACUGUACCCUCAGAGAAAGCCCCGGCUAACUACGUGCCAGCAGCCGCGGUAAUACGUAGGGGGCAAGCGUUGUCCGGAUUUACUGGGUGUAAAGGGCGCGCAGGCGGGAUAAAAAGUCAGUGGUGAAAUCCUACAGCUUAACUGUAGAACUGCCUUUGAUACUUUUAUUCUUGAGUUCGGGAGAGAGAGACGGAAUUCCAGGUGUAGUGGUGAAAUACGUAGAUAUCUGGAAGAACACCAGUUGCGAAGGCGGUCUCCUGGUCCGACACUGACGCUGAGGCGCGAAAGCGUGGGGAGCAAACA
This 422-nucleotide ribosomal RNA is filed under the name uncultured bacterium. RNAcentral describes it as "bacterial SSU rRNA". It matches the Rfam family "Bacterial small subunit ribosomal RNA", at positions 355 to 774 of the family's 1533-position model. The record is from RNAcentral.